GACGUAGGGCGCGAGCGUUGUCCGGAUUUAUUGGGCGUAAAGAGCUCGUAGGCGGCUUGUCGCGUCGUUCGUGAAAACCCACAGCUCAACUGUGGGCUUGCGGUCGAUACGGGCAGGCUGGAGUUCGGUAGGGGAGACUGGAAUUCCUGGUGUAGCGGUGGAAUGCGCAGAUAUCAGGAGGAACACCGGUGGCGAAGGCGGGUCUCUGGGCAGUAACUGACGCUGGGGAGCGAAAGCGUGGGGAGCGAACAGG
This 253-nucleotide ribosomal RNA is filed under the name uncultured bacterium. Its description in RNAcentral is "partial 16S ribosomal RNA". It matches the Rfam family "Bacterial small subunit ribosomal RNA", at positions 524 to 776 of the family's 1533-position model. The record is from RNAcentral.